AAAACGGCUCUUUUAGGAGCCACCACAUAGAGAAAAGUUCAAGUCA
This is a non-coding RNA of Nematostella vectensis (starlet sea anemone), 46 nucleotides long. Lineage: Eukaryota; Metazoa; Cnidaria; Anthozoa; Actiniaria; Edwardsiidae. The record is from Rfam.